UGGAGGACUGAGAAGGUGGAGCAGCUUGUGCUGUUCUAACUGGUUAGAGCCUCCGAGAGCAACACACAAACCACUCGAUGAAGUGGCUCUGUCACACGCAGAGCCACUCUGCAGUGUUUGUUGACAUCAC
Molecule: small nucleolar RNA, 130 nt
Organism: Cyclopterus lumpus (lumpfish)
Lineage: Eukaryota; Metazoa; Chordata; Actinopteri; Perciformes; Cyclopteridae
Source: Ensembl